This is a long non-coding RNA of Rosa chinensis, 669 nucleotides long. RefSeq lists it as uncharacterized. The record is from RefSeq and is a predicted model, not a curated record. The transcript has 2 exons. NCBI's taxonomy places the organism in Eukaryota, Viridiplantae, Streptophyta, Magnoliopsida, Rosales, Rosaceae.
CACGCGGGAUUCAUGACUAGUUAUGUGGUAAAUGAUGGUGUGCUCUCCAAUACAGUAAGAUUGGCACACUUGCAGACUUAAUACACAUUGUACUUACAUGGGUUGAAGAGAUUUUACAUUCCUUUUUCUCAUACUAUGAGUCUUUUGGUAUGUGUUACAGGAGAUGAGAUGACGGUGUGUUGAUCUAACUCUUAUUUCUCCAUCAAUAUGUGUGUGUUAUAAUAUAUUCUUUUUUCUAGUUUAGAUUUUCUGGUCAAGAUUUUGAUCACUCAUGUUUUCUCUUCUCAUCGUGUUACAUCUGCAGCUUAUUCUCUCCUUUUUGGAUUUGGACAUUAAGUACUUUGACCUUGGUCUUCCUCACCAUGAUACCACUGAUGAUAAAGUUACCGUUGAAAGUGCAGAGGCUACUCUUAAUAAGAGGAUUAGAAUGGGGCUGCUCCAGCUAAAAGUGUUCUGGUGUGGAUCCUAAUAUAAAUUUGAAAGUAUGCUUAGGCAGCAGCUGUGGUUGAUAGUCUGGCCAUCUUUUAGAAGUGAAGGUGCUGCAGUGCGUUUGUUUUGGCUUACUCUUGAUUGCUGCUUGGUUAUAGAUGAUGGGUUUCAUAUUGUAAUUUGAUAUUUUUCGGUUCAUAAUAAUUGCUAUAGAUGGUACUAGCUUUGUUGUGCAUUUCA